Molecule: long non-coding RNA, 1093 nt
Filed under: Gossypium barbadense (sea-island cotton)
Lineage: Eukaryota; Viridiplantae; Streptophyta; Magnoliopsida; Malvales; Malvaceae
Description: long non-coding RNA (GBAR_LNC009319)
Source: RNAcentral
GUCGAUCGAUACUAUUCUGGAAAACCCUUAACAUUGGGAACGAGAUCAAUCUUCGAUUGAUUAUUAUUAGAGUAACCUAUCGAUUAGAUCCGAGUGUGGAUGUUUCUUUAAAGUGAUGAUUUGCAUUGGAUCUACUAUCAGGUGUGGGUUUUAACACUAAAUAAAAUUGAGACAUGUUUUAUAUUGAUAAAAACAUUGUUAUUUAAAUAAUGUUAAUUGAUGGGGAUAUUAUAUGUAUUCAUAAAGAGAGAUAAAUCAUCAUUAUGGAUUUUAUCAAGUAAGUGUUUCUCCAAACCGUAUACGUUGUAGAAAGCAUUUCUGUGAUAAUGUGAAAAAUAUGUACAUCUCAUUCUUAAGUUAUGUGAUUAUAUAUAUGGCAUAUGUGAUAUCCAUAUGAAAAUAAAAUGUGAAAUUUUGGUACCAUGAGUACAUAUGUGAUUUGCAUGUUAAACAUGCCUAUAUGAUUUCGAGUGAUUUUGGUCAUCUUACAUGCAUGGGGUGGGAUAUGUGAAAGGUGGAAGUAUAUGGCAAUUUAUUUGCAUUAAUGAGACAUUGUUUAUGAUUUGAUUAUAUCGCAGUUUAUUUAUGACUCUGGUGGCUGGUCCACGAUUUUGAUUAUGUGGCAAUUUAUCUGUGUUACUGUGACACUGUUCACAAUUUGGUGUGUUAGAUGGACGAGUUCCGGAAAAACUCAAUUUUGGUGCGUAGUGGAUAUGGGUAGGACUGUUUUCAUAAAAUCUGCAUCAUUUUAUGAAAUGUGCAUUGAUAUGAUCAUGUAUAGUAUAAGUGUGAAAUAUUGAGUUACAUGAAACUGAUAUGAUUAUUAUGAUUGUAUAAUGUAUAUGUUUAUAUGUAUGUGAUUGUGUUUAUGUUAAUCUCAUUUUGAGCUUUAUAGCUCACCCCUCUUUAGUUUUCUGAUUUUACAGAUAACCCCAUGGCUAGGAUUCGACGACGACAUUUGGAGGAGUUUCUCGGAAUUCUUUUUAAGUUAAAGUAAUUAAAAUUUUAUUUUGAUAUUUUGGAUUGUAAUAAGUUUGAGUAUGGAUUGUGGCAUGAGACUUUAUUUUGGGGAUUUUUCAUUUUGAUUUGCAUA